This 891-nucleotide ribosomal RNA is filed under the name marine metagenome. RNAcentral's name for it is "bacterial SSU rRNA". It matches the Rfam family "Bacterial small subunit ribosomal RNA", at positions 8 to 914 of the family's 1533-position model. The record is from RNAcentral.
AGAGUUUGAUCCUGGCUCAGGACGAACAUUGGCGGCGCGCCUAAUGCAUGCAAGUCGAGCGAACUCGUUUUCUUCGGAAAGCACAUAGUUAGCGGCGAACGGCUGAGUAACGCGUAAGUAACCUGCCUCGAAGAGGGGAAAAACCAUGAGAAAUCAUGGCUAAUUCCGCGUAAUGUCAAUUAAUUAAUUUAAUUGAAGAAAGAUUUAUCGCUUUGAGAUGGGCUUGCGUCCUAUCAGGUAGUUGGUGAGGUAAAAGCUCACCAAGCCUAAGACGGGUAGCUGGAGUGAGAGCUUGACCAGCCAGAGGGGGACUGAGACACGGCCCCCACUCCUACGGGAGGCAGCAGCAGGGAAUCUUGCACAAUGGGCGAAAGCCUGAUGCAGCGACGCCGCGUGAGGGAUGAAGGUUUUAGGAUCGUAAACCUCUUUUCUUAGGGAAUAGUUUGGAAGGUACCUAAGGAAUAAGUCACGGCUAACUACGUGCCAGCAGCCGCGGUAAUACGUAGGUGGCAAAUGUUGUCCGGAAUCAUUGGGCGUAAAGGGUCCGUAGGUGGCUUGAAAAGUCUUAUGUGAAAUCUCUUGGCUCAACCAAGAAACGCCAUAAGAAACUUUCAUGCUAGAGAUCAUCAGAGGGAGGUAGAAUUUCAGGUGUAGUGGUGAAAUGCGUAGAUAUCUGAAGGAAUACCAAUGGCGAAAGCAGCCUCCUGGGGUGAAUCUGACAUUGAGGGACGAAAGCGUGGGUAGCAAACCGGAUUAGAUACCCGGGUAGUCCACGCUGUAAACGAUGAAUACUGGGUCUUCGGGGAAUCGACCCCUUGUGGACCGAAGCUAACGCGUUAAGUAUUCCGCCUGGGGAGUACGGUCGCAAGACUAAAACUCAAAGGAAUUGAC